This 253-nucleotide ribosomal RNA is filed under the name uncultured bacterium. Its description in RNAcentral is "partial 16S ribosomal RNA". It matches the Rfam family "Bacterial small subunit ribosomal RNA", at positions 524 to 776 of the family's 1533-position model. The record is from RNAcentral.
UACGAAGGGGGCAAGCGUUGUUCGGAAUUACUGGGCGUAAAGGGCGCGUAGGCGGCUUAUCAAGUCAGGCGUGAAAUUCCCGGGCUCAACCUGGGGGCUGCGCUUGAUACUGAUGAGCUUGAAUGCGGGAGAGGAUAGUGGAAUUCCCAGUGUAGAGGUGAAAUUCGUAGAUAUUGGGAAGAACACCGGUGGCGAAGGCGGCGAUCUGGCCCGUAAUUGACGCUGAGGCGCGAAAGCGUGGGGAGCAAACAGG